RNAcentral lists this ribosomal RNA (467 nucleotides) under uncultured bacterium. Its description in RNAcentral is "partial 16S ribosomal RNA". It matches the Rfam family "Bacterial small subunit ribosomal RNA", at positions 29 to 507 of the family's 1533-position model. The record is from RNAcentral.
ACGAACGCUGGCGGCGUGCUUAACACAUGCAAGUCGAACGGAAAGGCCCUGCUUUUGUGGGGUGCUCGAGUGGCGAACGGGUGAUUAACACGUGAGUAACCUGCCCUUGACUUUGGGAGAACUUCAUGAAACUGGGGCUAAUACCGGAUAGGAGCUCCUGCUGCAGGGUGGGGGUUGGAAAGUUUCGGCGGUUGGGGUUGGACUCGCGGCGUAUCAGCUCGUUGGUGGGGUAGUGGCUUACCAAGGCUUUGACGGGUAGCCGGCCUGAGAGGGUGACCGGCCACAUUGGGACUGAGAUACGGCCCAGACUCCUACGGGAGGCAGCAGUGGGGAAUAUUGCACAAUGGGCGGAAGCCUGAUGCAGCAACGCCGCGUGCGGGAUGACGGCCUUCGGGUUGUAAACCGCUUUCGCCUGUGACGAAGCGUGAGUGACGGUAAUGGGUAAAGAAGCCCCGGCUAACUACGUG